This 467-nucleotide ribosomal RNA is filed under the name uncultured bacterium. RNAcentral describes it as "partial 16S ribosomal RNA". It matches the Rfam family "Bacterial small subunit ribosomal RNA", at positions 28 to 506 of the family's 1533-position model. The record is from RNAcentral.
GACGAACGCUGGCGGCGUGCUUAACACAUGCAAGUCGAACGGAAAGGCCCUGCUUUUGUGGGGUGCUCGAGUGGCGAACGGGUGAGUAACACGUGAGUAACCUGCCCUUGACUUUGGGAUAACUUCAGGAAACUGGGGCUAAUACCGGAUAGGAGCUCCUGCUGCAUGGUGGGGGUUGGAAAGUUUCGGCGGUUGGGGAUGGACUCGCGGCUUAUCAGCUUGUUGGUGGGGUAGUGGCUUACCAAGGCUUUGACGGGUAGCCGGCCUGAGAGGGUGACCGGCCACAUGGGGACUGAGAUACGGCCCAGACUCCUACGGGAGGCAGCAGUGGGGAAUAUUGCACAAUGGGCGGAAGCCUGAUGCAGCAACGCCGCGUGCGGGAGGACGGCCUUCGGGUUGUAAACCGCUUUCGCCUGUGACGAAGCGUGAGUGACGGUAAUGGGGAAAGAAGCACCGGCUAACUACGU